GAAGUGUAGCUCAGUGGAAGAGCACUUAGCAUGCGAGAGGGCCCUGGAUCGAUGCCAAGCACUUUCAC
This 68-nucleotide transfer RNA is filed under the name Schistosoma mansoni. The record is from RNAcentral. Lineage: Eukaryota; Metazoa; Platyhelminthes; Trematoda; Strigeidida; Schistosomatidae.